RNAcentral lists this ribosomal RNA (253 nucleotides) under uncultured bacterium. RNAcentral describes it as "partial 16S ribosomal RNA". It matches the Rfam family "Bacterial small subunit ribosomal RNA", at positions 524 to 776 of the family's 1533-position model. The record is from RNAcentral.
UACAGAGGGGGCGAGCGUUGUUCGGAAUUACUGGGCGUAAAGGGCGCGUAGGCGGCCAACUAAGUCAGACGUGAAAUCCCUCGGCUCAACCGGGGAACUGCGUCUGAUACUGGAUGGCUUGAAUUCGGGAGAGGGAUGCGGAAUUCCAGGUGUAGCGGUGAAAUGCGUAGAUAUCUGGAGGAACACCGGUGGCGAAGGCGGCAUCCUGGACCAAUUCUGACGCUGAUGAGCGAAAGCCAGGGGAGCAAACGGG